Molecule: ribosomal RNA, 450 nt
Filed under: uncultured bacterium
Lineage: Bacteria
Description: bacterial SSU rRNA
Rfam family: Bacterial small subunit ribosomal RNA
Source: RNAcentral
GUAGGGAAUCUUCCACAAUGGGCGCAAGCCUGAUGGAGCAACGCCGCGUGAGUGAAGAAGGGUUUCGGCUCGUAAAACUCUGUUGUUAAAGAAGAACGUAUCUGAGAGUAACUGUUCAGAUAGUGACGGUAUUUAACCAGAAAGCCACGGCUAACUACGUGCCAGCAGCCGCGGUAAUACGUAGGUGGCAAGCGUUAUCCGGAUUUAUUGGGCGUAAAGGGAGUGCAGGCGGUUAUUUAAGUCUGAUGUGAAAGCCUUCGGCUUAACCGGAGAAGGGCAUCGGAAACUGGAUAACUUGAGUGCAGAAGAGGGUAGUGGAACUCCAUGUGUAGCGGUGGAAUGCGUAGAUAUAUGGAAGAACACCAGUGGCGAAGGCGGCUACCUAGUCUGUAACUGACGCUGAGGCUCGAAAGCAUGGGUAGCAAACAGGAUUAGAAACCCUAGUAGUCC